Molecule: transfer RNA, 73 nt
Organism: Ovis aries (sheep)
Lineage: Eukaryota; Metazoa; Chordata; Mammalia; Artiodactyla; Bovidae
Rfam family: tRNA
About the family: Transfer RNA (tRNA) molecules are approximately 80 nucleotides in length.
Source: Rfam
UCCCUGGUGGUCCAGUGGUUAAGACUCUACACUUCCACUGCAAGGGGCCUGGUUUUGAUCCCCAGCUGGGGAA